This 334-nucleotide ribosomal RNA is filed under the name uncultured Bacteroidota bacterium. RNAcentral describes it as "bacterial SSU rRNA". It matches the Rfam family "Bacterial small subunit ribosomal RNA", at positions 28 to 351 of the family's 1533-position model. The record is from RNAcentral. Lineage: Bacteria; Pseudomonadati; Bacteroidota.
GAUGAACGCUAGCGGCAGGCCUAACACAUGCAAGUCGAGGGGCAGCAUAAAACAAGCUUGCUUGUUUUGGUGGCGACCGGCGCACGGGUGAGUAACGCGUAUGCAACCUACCCUGUACAGGGGGGAUAGCCCGGAGAAAUUCGGAUUAAUACCCCAUAACGAUAUCUGGAGGCAUCUUUGGAUAUUUAAAGAUUUUAUCGGUACGGGAUGGGCAUGCGUAACAUUAGCUAGUUGGUAGGGUAACGGCCUACCAAGGCAACGAUGUUUAGGGGUCCUGAGAGGGUGAUCCCCCACACUGGUACUGAGACACGGACCAGACUCCUACGGGUGGCUG